UGGGGUCAAAACCAGGCCGAAUAUGCCCUAUCGGUACGGUAUCGGUUUGGCUCGGUUCGGCACCCGUACCGUACCGUUACCGGAGCCGACCAGUAUGUCGGUACGAUUGGUAACCUUGCUUGCAAGUAAACUAAGAUUCUUAGAUACCGAAAAAUUAAUCCUCAAAAAUCUUUCCUCAAAAAGAAAAAUUCAGAAUACCACAUAACCCUAUACAGAAACACUUGUCUAACCUAUACAGAAUACCAAGAAACUAACCCUGAAACAUUCAAAAAACAAAUUUUAAUGAUUUAUGCCUUCUCUAACCCAACAUAUACCUAAAAUAGGAUUCUUUAUACUAAUUCCAUUUAAAAUGGGACUCCAAAACGUGUUUAAAA
This 374-nucleotide long non-coding RNA is filed under the name Phoenix dactylifera (date palm). RNAcentral describes it as "long non-coding RNA (PDAC_LNC014099)". Lineage: Eukaryota; Viridiplantae; Streptophyta; Magnoliopsida; Arecales; Arecaceae. The record is from RNAcentral.